CGCCUGUACCAUAACCGACACAGGUGGGUAGGUAGAGUAUACUAAGGGGCGCGAGAUAACUCUCUCUAAGGAACUCGGCAAAAUGACUCCGUAACUUCGGGAGAAGGAGUGCCUUAUUCGUAAGGCUGCAAUAACAAGAUCCAAGCAACUGUUUAUCAAAAACACAGGUCUCCGCUAAGUCGUAAGACGAUGUAUGGGGGCUGACGCCUGCCCAGUGCCAGAAGGUUAAAGAAGUCGGUUAGCAUUAGCGAAGCUGGUAACUGAAGCCCUGGUGAACGGCGGCCGUAACAAUAACGGUCCUAAGGUAGCGAAAUUCCUUGUCGGGUAAGUUCCGACCCGCACGAAAGGCGUAAUGAUUUGGAUACUGUCUCGGAGAGGGGCUCGGUGAAAUAGACUUGUCUGUGAAGAUGCGGACUACCUGCACCAGGACAGAAAGACCCUAUGAAGCUUUACUGUAACUUGAAAUUGAAAUUGGACUUUAUUCGCGCAGUAUAGGUGGGAGGUGUUGAUUAUAAUCUUGCGGGAUUAUUGGAGCCAUCAGUGAGAUACCACUCUUGUAAUGUUAGAUUUCUAACUUUGAAUCAUUAUCUGGUCAAAGAACAGUUUCAGGCGGGCAGUUUGACUGGGGCGGUCGCCUCCUAAAUGGUAACGGAGGCGUACAAAGGUUUCCUCUGAACGGGUAGAAAUCGUAUCUAGAGUGUAAAGGCAUAAGGAAGCUUGACUGUGAGACCUACAAGUCGAGCAGGGACGAAAGUCGGUCUUAGUGAUCUGACGGUACUGAGUGGAAAGGCCGUCACUCAACGGAUAAAAGUUACUCUAAGGAUAACAGGCUGAUCUCCCCCAAGGGUUCACAUCGACGGGGAGGUUUGGCACCUUGAUGUCGGCUCAUCGCAUCCUGGGGCGGUAGUACGUCCCAAGGGUUGGGCUGUUCGCCCAUGAAAGCGGUACGCGAGCUGGGUUCAGAACGUCGUGAGACAGUUCGGUCCAUAUCCGGUGUAGGCGUUAGAAUAUUGAGAGGAGCCUUCUUUAGUACGAGAGGACCGAGAAGGACAUACCUCUGGUGUACCAGUUAUCGUGCCAACGGUAAACGCUGGGUAGCUAUGUAUGGAGUGGAUAACCGCUGAAAGCAUCUAAGUGGGAAGCCCACCUCAAGAUAAGUAUUCUCAUCACGUAAGUGAGUAAGGUCACGGUAAGACUAACCGUUUGAUAGGCAUUAAGUGUAAGUACAGUAAUGUAUGUGCUGAGAUGUCCUAAUAGACCGAGGAC
This 1266-nucleotide ribosomal RNA is filed under the name metagenome. RNAcentral describes it as "bacterial LSU rRNA". It matches the Rfam family "Bacterial large subunit ribosomal RNA", at positions 1639 to 2925 of the family's 2925-position model. The record is from RNAcentral.